CCUCCUUCGAAAUAUCUUGGACUUCCUUUCACUGGCAGGAAACCAAUAAGGGCUGAUUGGUUAGUCCUACUACAAAAGAUUGAAGCUAGAUUGGCAAUGUGGAAAACUAAAUUUCUCUCCUUCGAAGGAAGACUGAUCCUAGUAAACUCGGGGACAGAAGUGCAAGGAGACUAGCUUGCAAAGUCAGUUGGAAAUCUGUGUAUCUUUUGAAAUCUGAUGGAGGCUUUGGGUUUACUGAUCUCAAGACCUUUAAUGAAUCUUUCUUGGCUAAAUGGGGAUGGCAGUACCUGGUAAAUGAAUCUGGCUUGUAGAGGAAGCAAAUCCUCAUGCCAUAUCACUGAAAAGCGAAACUCUCUCCUUCAUGGAAGCCACCAAAAUGGAGCUCUAGUAUUUGGAAGGAUGUUAUCAACUCUCCCCCUACUUUCUGGAAUAGAAAUCGAUAUAAAAUUGGGAAUGGACAUGACAUGCUUUUCUGAAAGGAUGUGAUGCGCCUUUGCAGAUCAUCUUUCUCAAUUUAUUUCGAAUCUAUCACAAAAAGAAUGGCCGAGUAACUGAUUUCUUCAAUGCCAGGAGCUCUUUUUGGAACUUCAAAAUACCUGCCAACCUGGGUGGGGAGGUCUCAGAUCAGGCUCGUCUUCUCACCUCUCUCUUGGCUACUGUCUUUUUGAACUUUGAUGCAGAUAAGGUGAUUUGGAAUGGGGAAGAUCAUGCCAAGUUCUCAACUACAGAUUUGUAUCUCUUCUCUAGUUCUAGAGGAAUCAGAUGCCGCCUUGUUGACACGCUUUGGAGUCUCUAUGUCCUUCGAAGACAAAGUAGUUUUUAUGGUUACUCUAGAGGAAAAGGCUCAACAUAAGAGAAAUAUUAGGAAGAAAAAUCAGUAAAAACUUGGUGUGUGCGCCCUUUGCCAUCACACAAUAGAGAAUGUGGAUCAUUUAUUCAUAGACUGCCCAUUCAUUAGAAGUCUUUGGAAGGCUAUUUGUUUGCUCUAUAAUGCGCCUCCCUCCUUUUCUUCCUUCAGCGAUCUGUGCACCACCUGGUUGAAGCAUUAUUUUUUCAAACCUGCUCAACCUAUCUUUCUUAUGUUGGUGGAGGCUGUUACUUGGGUUGUUUGAAAAGAAAGGAACUCGUGAUUUUUUCUCAACAAACAUUGUUCUCCAUCUACCUCGGCCAAUGAAGUGAUUCUCUUCAAAGACUGGGUGCAUCUUUGCAAGGAAAAACUCUCUUCUCAACAUGACAAGUUAUGGGUUAAGAUCAGAGGCCUAUCGCUCCAGCCAAUGGCAAACUGAGUGGUGUAUGAUUAUACCUCGUCUGUUUUUACUCAUCCCUUGGGUUUUGGCCAUAUUGCUUUUUUCAAUCUUAUGUUCUAUUUUUUUAUAUACACUUAUCUGUUGGGGAAGGAGGGUCAGCUCCGUUUUUGUAAUUUUGUUAUUGUUUUUGCUGUAUCGUCGUACCAGCAAUGAAGUCUUUGAGCUUUACUUUAA
Elaeis guineensis (African oil palm) is the source of this 1481-nucleotide long non-coding RNA. RefSeq lists it as uncharacterized. NCBI's taxonomy places the organism in Eukaryota, Viridiplantae, Streptophyta, Magnoliopsida, Arecales, Arecaceae. The record is from RefSeq and is a predicted model, not a curated record.